Molecule: signal recognition particle RNA, 298 nt
Filed under: Microcebus murinus (gray mouse lemur)
Lineage: Eukaryota; Metazoa; Chordata; Mammalia; Primates; Cheirogaleidae
Description: Metazoan signal recognition particle RNA (ENSMICG00000030598.2)
Rfam family: Metazoan signal recognition particle RNA
About the family: The signal recognition particle (SRP) is a universally conserved ribonucleoprotein. It is involved in the co-translational targeting of proteins to membranes. The eukaryotic SRP consists of a 300-nucleotide 7S RNA and six proteins: SRPs 72, 68, 54, 19, 14, and 9.
Source: RNAcentral
GCUAUUUGAUGUAAAAUGUAUGUAGUCCCAGCUACUGGGGAGGCUGAGAUGGGAGAAUAGCUUGAGCCCAGGAGUUUUGGGGCUGUAGUGCGCUAUGCCGAUCAGGUGUCUGCACUAAGUUCAGCAUCAAUAUGGUGACCUCUUGGGAGCGGGGGACCACCAGGUUGCCUAAGGAGGGGUGAACCGGCCCAGGUCAGAAACGGAGCAGGUCAAAGCUCCUGUGCUGAUCAGUGGUGGGAUUGCGUCUGUAAAUGGCCACUGCACUCCAGCCUGAGCAACAUAGUGAUAUCCCGUUUCA